UUAACUAAUUUACAUAUAAAAUAAGUUUAUUUUAAACGUUCUGAUUAACAAAUUAGUUCCUGACAAUAAUAGAAACAAUAUUUGUUUAACGUUAUAACAAGUAAUUUCUAAGAUAAGAUGGAUUUAUUGCAAUCAAUCUUGCUAUAUUAUCCUUUACAUGUUAUUAUCAGGAUUAUGAGAUGGAACUGGGGGAUUGAAAGCCAUUUCUGCCAUGUCAAAGUCUCUACAAAGUUCUUCUGGAGUGCUGAAAGUAAAUAAAAACAAGUUUUAAAAUG
RNAcentral lists this long non-coding RNA (275 nucleotides) under Agrilus planipennis (emerald ash borer). Its description in RNAcentral is "uncharacterized LOC112905791, transcript variant X1". The record is from RNAcentral. Lineage: Eukaryota; Metazoa; Arthropoda; Insecta; Coleoptera; Buprestidae.